RNAcentral lists this long non-coding RNA (936 nucleotides) under Elaeis guineensis (African oil palm). RNAcentral's name for it is "long non-coding RNA (EGUI_LNC071644)". The record is from RNAcentral. Lineage: Eukaryota; Viridiplantae; Streptophyta; Magnoliopsida; Arecales; Arecaceae.
GGUGUCCUAUGAUCAUUUUGGUCAAGGGGAUGAAUUAUAUGAAAACUAUAUCAGCAUGGGUUCUAAGGAUGUUGUUCUAUACAUUCGACCUAUCCGGUCGUCGGGUACCAUUGCUAGAUGGUCACUUUGAUUGGUAUAAAAAUUUAUUCCUAUGCUACCGGCUUAGGUUCGGACCUAUGAGGUCACACACAUUAGAUUUCAUGAUCUGAUCAGAUGGUUGAUCAACGAUUAAGAAUCGUUCUAGGGUUAAAUGAUCAAUACGAUUGACAUUUAACCCAGUACAAGUGUUGCAGGAGGAUCAAUUAGCAAUUUGAUUGCUAAUUGGCUUAAUUUGAUUAAGCCAAUGGGCUGAGAUUAAGUCUAAUUAAAUAUGAUUUAAUUAGAUUUAGUUUGGGUUUGAUUGGAUCAAGUUCAAUUGGUUUAUUGGAUAAGCCAAGUACAAGGAAAAACUAGUUCUAGUUCAACUAGGACUUGGGUCAAUCUAAUUUCUAAUUUGAUUAGAAAAUUAAAUCAGAUUUAAAUCUAAUUUAAUCUGAUUAAAUUAGGUUCUUAAUUAGGUUAAGACCUAUUUUAAUUGGAUUGAUAUAAUUUUGAUUUGAUUUGAUUUGGAAAACCAAAUUAAAACAAGUCAUAAGACAGAAUCCUAGUAAGACUAAGAUUCCACCUUGCGCCACAUAAUCCUUCUCCACACCCUCUCUCUUAUUCAAUGCCAAUCUCCACUUAUUUUGUGUGACAAAAGCCCUCUCCCAGAUCUCUCCCAUAUUCACAAAAGGUCUCCUCUCUUUUUUCUUACAUGGAAGGUGGUUUGGAUCAAAUCUAAAAGGAAUAAGUUUGGAUUUCGAAUUCUAUGAGAUAGAGUUUUAGAAAUCCAAAACUCUUUCAAUUUUGCACCGAAUUUAUCCAAAUAUUUUUGAAAUUUUUGUGGCUUUUAGGGUA